UACGUAGGGUGCAAGCGUUGUCCGGAAUUAUUGGGCGUAAAGAGCUCGUAGGCGGUUUGUCGCGUCUGCUGUGAAAAUCCAGGGCUUAACCCUGGACCUGCAGUGGGUACGGGCAGACUAGAGUGCGGUAGGGGAGAUCGGAAUUCCUGGUGUAGCGGUGAAAUGCGUAGAUAUCACUCGGAAGGCCAACGGCGAAGGCAGGUUACUGGUACGCAACUGACGCUGAGGCACGAAAGCGUGGGGAGCAAACAGG
RNAcentral lists this ribosomal RNA (253 nucleotides) under uncultured bacterium. RNAcentral's name for it is "partial 16S ribosomal RNA". It matches the Rfam family "Bacterial small subunit ribosomal RNA", at positions 524 to 776 of the family's 1533-position model. The record is from RNAcentral.